Molecule: long non-coding RNA, 1459 nt
Organism: Ictalurus punctatus (channel catfish)
Lineage: Eukaryota; Metazoa; Chordata; Actinopteri; Siluriformes; Ictaluridae
Source: Ensembl
CACUCGUCUCCCUCUGGAGUUCAUUAACAUCACUUCUGUUAUAGAACUCCCGUUUCCCCACGAGGCGGCAGACCGACAUCCCGCACCGAGCCUGUCCUCAAGAUCACAGGCGAUGUGAGGGCUGCUAAUGACGUCGAAGUAAGAAGCGUCGAUGACGCGGUGCGUGAUGUGGCGAAGUCCCCGCUCUCCCAGACGAAGAUGGCCAACCCGGAGUUCCUUGCAUCGUCCUCGAUCCAGCCACAAUUCCACCACGAAUUCCCGACCACCACGUCCAUCAACCCGUCUGUCUGUACUAUGCAAUUGUAAAUUCUGUGAACAUGUAGAUCGAACCUGAUUUGGGUUUUUGCUUGGGAUUUGUACGAACAACACGAUGAUAUUUCGGCUAACGGGGGCUUCGUAACGUAUAACCUGUUCAGCUUUUAUUUCUAUUUUUGUGCACGCGCUCCGGGAACCUCCGUUUACCUCCUUCACGUUUCUCAGAUAUUUAUAAAAAAAAACAAAAAACAAAUGUUGUAGCUGGGAAUGAAGACCACUCGUGUUUUGCCCCUUAAUGAAUCACCUCAUACUGAUAAAUGCAUGUUUCUUCCCAGAAUGCAUCCCUCUGCUGUGUUUCUCGUGUUUACAGCGUAAUCCGUGCCGUCACCCGCGAACUGGUUGGCUGUUCUUGGAAAAAAAAAAUCAUUCCGAUAACGGUACGUGCUGAGUGCUCCGUUGCUCUUCCGACGCCACAGCAAUUUGCCAACGUUAACCUUUUUAAAAAAUAAUAAUAAUAAUAAUAAUUUUAUUAAAGAGUGACACCUCGUACUUUUUAUCCGCUUAUAAUUACAUUUACUGUUGUGGAAAACAAGUUCCUGUUCGAAACCAUACCCCGCCCCCCUUGUGUAAAUACUGUACAUGUUCAGGAAUGCCGAGAUGUUUUAGCCCUGUGUGCCUAUACAGCAUCCAUUCCAAGGAGAGGAUUUACGAGACGGAAAUAUAGAGAGCUCUAAAUUCAGAUUCGACAAAAUUUUAUUAUUAUUUUUUUCCUCUUUGAGUCGAAUAGUUUUCUAAAGUCAAAUCAAAUCAGAAGAAAGCCAUGAUUGCCUUGCUACCUCAGACUUAACAGCGUUCAUUUGCGAGAUUUGUGUUGUUUUUUUGUUUUUUUUGUCAUUAUUUUUCUUUCGCAAAACCACAAACAGAAACCUAAAGCCACAAAUGCUAUAUUUUAAAUAACGUUCCUUGAGAUCACUUAUUUAAUAAGAUCAGGGAUGAAGAUCAAGAUUGACAGAUAAGGCUGAAAAUGAAAAGUCAACGAUUUAAAAAAGAAAAGAAAAGAAAAGGUAAACAUAAAAUUCUGUGGUUGGUCUGUGAAUUUUUUUCAUAGCUUUUUAAUUUUUUCUACAUGGUGUAGUUUGUGCUUUUCCCAGUGAAGCAUUAACACUACUAUGACCUGUCCGAUGUGUCCCCGACUGCGGGGUUU